UUUUGCAUUAAAUUAGUUUUAAAGUUAAGGGAUAUAUAUAAGACCUUUUUAUUAACAAGUUGAUGAGAUGAGCAUUAGUAUACCUAUAGGAAGUUUUUGAAUGAGUGCCAAUUCUGAAUUUACAAAUCAACAUUUCUUCUCUCCAGCUUUCUUUAGCUUGCCCAUGGUGAUGUGAAGAUGAGAAGAAAUAGCAAGGCCCAACCAGUUCUUCAUCUGGAGACAGUUCAACGUUCUGCAAACCAGAUCUUCAGGAAUUUUACUGGGAUAAUUAUCCAAAUAAAUUGCAAGCAUUCUAUCCAAAUGGAGCUCUUUCUGAGAUGAAGAGAAUUCUCAAUGUCAAGAUUUGAACAAGAAGAGAAUGGAAUACACAAUAUGGACAUCCAUAAAAAUUCAUCAGAGAGCAUUUUACUACUGAGCUGCAAAGAUGACAAGAGCACCUCAAAGGCAGCAGCCUCAAGGAGCAGCCAUGGCCCCAGACUUGUCGCACGGAUGCAGAAAACUUAAUGGAGGAGGCUGAGGUCAGAAUGGGAAGAGUUUUUAAAAAAUAAAAAGGGGAGCUAAUAUGUGAGGAACUGAUUGCUGUGCAUUAUUUUCCACUGAACAGACCUUCUUUUAACUUCUAAUCUCAAGCACAUAGCAGCUGUUGUUUUCAUAUUAAAGAUCAGUAAGUGUUUGUUGAA
This 680-nucleotide long non-coding RNA is filed under the name Homo sapiens (human). Its description in RNAcentral is "HSALNT0403105". Lineage: Eukaryota; Metazoa; Chordata; Mammalia; Primates; Hominidae. The record is from RNAcentral.